RNAcentral lists this long non-coding RNA (2112 nucleotides) under Anthonomus grandis grandis. RNAcentral describes it as "uncharacterized LOC126750612". Lineage: Eukaryota; Metazoa; Arthropoda; Insecta; Coleoptera; Curculionidae. The record is from RNAcentral.
UUUAAUACGUUCUGAUUGGUAAAGUCAUAUACGAUGGGUUUCUUUUGCGAGUCUUGUGGCAAAUUGUUUUCUAAUAAAAGCAAUUUCAUUAAGCACCAAAAGAAUGUUCAUAAUGUUAUAACUGAAAAUCAAGUUAUGAAAUAUGCAAUGGAUGCAAAAUUAUUUAAGUGUUUAGAGGGAUGCAAUAUCUCUUUUAAACAUAAUAUGGACUUAAGAUGCCACCUGGACCAACAACAUAAAUUAAAAACUGAAGUUCAAGACUCAAGAGAGAACUUUUGCUAGUUAUACAGAGUUUGUGACUUGGCUGAAAGUUGAGGAGAAGAAUCAGGAUAUAAGAUAUGAAAAAACAACAGGCACAAAGAUAUGAGAUGCUUCAUUGACAGAAAGGAUCUAUUUUGGGUGUGUUCAAUCUGGUAAGCAGCCUAAAGUGCCUGAAAACGAUUUAAGAAGAACUUCAAAAAGCCAAGGGUCCUGCAAGUUGAAUGCUGCAUGCACAAGUCAAAUUAUAAUUAAUAAAAAUACAGAAACUGGAGAAUGUUUAAUGAAAUAUUUUACUUCUCAUUAUCGACAUGGUAAAGACAUUCAGCAUUUAAGACUGUCAAAGAUUGCCAGAAAAACAGUAGCUUCUAAGCUUUUAAUGGGAGUUUCAUCUGAACAUAUCAUCAACUCAACACAUGAUAAGAUCUCCGAAAAUUUUAAGAAAAGGAUGAUCUGCUCACAAAAGAGGAUGUUAAAAACAUUAAAAUGUCCUAUAAUAUCCAUCUUAGGGAUGGUUAUCUCCACAAAGAUGAUGCUACCAGUGUUGACUUAUGGGUGAGAAAAUUAGAAGAUUCUGGGCAAACUCCAGUGCUUCUGUAUAAAAGGCAGGGAGAAUUCAAAAUAGUAAUAAAUUAUUAAGAAAUGAUUUUUGUUUAGUUAUAAUGAAUGAAAGUCAAACUGAUAUGUUAAAAAGGUUUGGUACAAACAUUAUUUGUGUUGACAGUACACUGAAAAAAAAACCGAAAAUAUUACCUUAAUAAAUAUUUAUUUAAAUCUUUUUUAUUUCCACUGAAUACAAUUUGUUUCAAUAAACUAAUUCUUGCUUGUGUCAAAUAAAUGUAUGUAUUUGUAUAAUUUUAGUCAUUAGUUUGAAUAUAUAAUAUUUUUAAUGUUUUUAUUUAAGACAAAUAAUUAUUUAUUUAAACUAAAUUAAAAAAUGAGAGGAGUUACUCAGUUCAUUUUAUCAAAUAAUCGUGUUUUUAAUUUAAAUAUAUUUAUUAAACACAAACAAAUAAGUUUAAAUACAAAUAACUCAAUAGGUACUUUUUCAACACUCAAUCAUUAGAACUACAACAGGAAUCCCCCACCCGAAGCGCAAUUGGGGGUGCGGACCGGCCGGCCGGCAGGUCGCUGUUUGCUUGAUACUGGGAAGAAAGUCACCCAUAGAUUUUUGUCAAAUCGUAGUUUUUCAUCAAAUUCACCAUUAUUUAUUCGCUCUUUACGAUUCAUUUAAUGUUUGUUUGUAUUUUAUAUAACCUGUGGAUAUGCGCAUAACUUGUGGAUUGUGUACCUAAUUAACAGUUCCUAUUAUGGAAAUGGAAACCUUUUUGGACCAAUGUGGCGUGGGUCAUUUGUGGCCUAUAUUUCAGGAGAAUAUUCUAUAAAAAGAAACUUAUUUCAGAGCAUCAUAUAUAGACGACCUCGAUGUCCUACAGAGCAUUAGCGAAAAUGAUCCAACAACCAACCACAGAAAAAUUAAGAAGUGAUGAGGUCACUAAAAACUAUUUAAUGUUUUUGGUUUUGUUGUCUUGUCUGUAUUUUUUAAAGUUUUUAUGUACAAACGAUGCAGCUAACCGUGCUACCAUCGUUGGUACAAAAGUGUAUUUAUUUUACCUCAUAGUGUGGUAUUUCGAAUCCUAAUUUUUUGUUACAUUUGUAACAUAGAGUAAUUAGUUAUAGGAGUCGAUAAAAGUGUCGACUCCUUGUUAUUAUAUUUUUCUAUAUUAUAAGGAUUAAAAAUGUUUAUGUUUUAUUUUCUUAUGGUUUUUGAAUCUUGCAAAUUUAAUGUUAACUAGACUAUUUUGCAGUUUAAAAAUAUUUCAGUUUAAUAAUAAAGAAGUAUUAUUAACAUUA